Molecule: ribosomal RNA, 433 nt
Filed under: uncultured bacterium
Lineage: Bacteria
Description: partial 16S ribosomal RNA
Rfam family: Bacterial small subunit ribosomal RNA
Source: RNAcentral
AACGAACGCUGGCGGCAUGCCUAACACAUGCAAGUCGAACGAGACCUUCGGGUCUAGUGGCGCACGGGUGCGUAACGCGUGGGAACCUGCCCUUAGGUUCGGAAUAACUCCCCGAAAGGGGUGCUAAUACCGGAUAAUGUCUUCGGACCAAAGAUUUAUCGCCUUUGGAUGGGCCCGCGUUGGAUUAGCUAGUUGGUAGGGUAAAAGCCUACCAAGGCGACGAUCCAUAGCUGGUCUGAGAGGAUGAUCAGCCACACUGGGACUGAGACACGGCCCAGACUCCUACGGGAGGCAGCAGUGGGGAAUAUUGGACAAUGGGCGAAAGCCUGAUCCAGCAAUGCCGCGUGAGUGAUGAAGGCAUUAGGGUAGUAAAGCUCUUUUAACCGGGAUGAUAAUGACAGUACCGGGAGAAUAAGCUCCGGCUAACUCCGUG